Non-coding RNA from Schistocephalus solidus, 72 nucleotides. Lineage: Eukaryota; Metazoa; Platyhelminthes; Cestoda; Diphyllobothriidea; Diphyllobothriidae. The record is from Rfam.
GGGCCCCUGGCUCAAUGGUAGAGCGUUCGAAUCAAUUUCCAAAGGUCGUGGGUUCGAAUUCCAGGUAGUCCA